UCUGGUUGAUCCUGCCAGUAGUCAUAUGCUUGUCUCAAAGACUAAGCCAUGCAUGUCUAAGUAUAAACACCUUUAUACUGCGAAACUGCGAACGGCUCAUUAUAUCAGUUAUAAUCUACUUGAUCGUAUCCUCUUACUUGGAUAACCGUAGUAAUUCUAGAGCUAAUACAUGCAAAAGUUCCCGACUGGUGACGGAAGGGAAGUAUUUAUUAGGUCCAAAAUCAAUACUGGCCAUUCGGUCAGGAACUAUUGAUGAUUCAUAAUAACUAAACGAAGCGCAGGGCUUGUCUCGGCGCUGAUACAAACGAGUUUCUGCCCUAUCAACUUUCGAUGGUAGUAUAGGGGACUACCAUGGUCGUAACGGGUAACGGGGAAUUAGGGUUCUAUUCCGGAGAGGGAGCCUGAGAAAUGGCUACCACUUCCAAGGAAGGCAGCAGGCGCGCAAAUUACCCAAUCCUGAUUCGGGGAGGUAGUGACAAGAAAUACCAUUGGCGGACACUUUCGUGUACGCUAUUUGGAAUGAGUACAAUUUAAACACCUUAACGAGGAACAAUUGGAGGGCAAGUCUGGUGCCAGCAGCCGCGGUAAUUCCAGCUCCAAUAGUGUAUAUUAAAGUUGCUGCGGUUAAAAAGCUCGUAGUUGGAUUUCGAAAGUGUUUGUGUCAAAGCUCGCCCUUGUGGUGUGGCUCGACAUAUCCUUUCUAUUAUUGGACAGUGGGCAACCGCUUCCAAUCAUUUACUUUGAAAAAAUUAGAGUGUUCAAAGCAGGCGUAACCUUGCCAUUGAAUAUUACAGCAUGGGAUAAUAGAAUAUGACGUUGGUCUUAUUUUGUUGGUUUCUAAGGCUGAUGUAAUGAUUAAUAGGGAUAGUUGGGGUCGCUCGUAUUGAGUUGUCAGAGGUGAAAUUCUAGGAUUUACUCAAGACGAACUAAUGCGAAAGCAUUCGACAAGGAUGUUUUCAUUAAUCAAGAACGAAAGUUGGGGGAUCGAAGAUGAUCAGAUACCGUCGUAGUCUCAACCAUAAACUAUGUGGACCAAGGAUCCGAGGACGUUACAUGGAUGACUCUCCGGGCACUUUGUGAGAAAUCAUAA
RNAcentral lists this ribosomal RNA (1090 nucleotides) under wastewater metagenome. Its description in RNAcentral is "bacterial SSU rRNA". It matches the Rfam family "Eukaryotic small subunit ribosomal RNA", at positions 1 to 1102 of the family's 1831-position model. The record is from RNAcentral.